This 204-nucleotide long non-coding RNA is filed under the name Ananas comosus (pineapple). RNAcentral's name for it is "long non-coding RNA (ACOM_LNC039935)". Lineage: Eukaryota; Viridiplantae; Streptophyta; Magnoliopsida; Poales; Bromeliaceae. The record is from RNAcentral.
GUAAGGAAGUGAAUUCUCGAAACUCGAGGAUUAGACUUCGACCAGAAUCGACUAGUUGUCGUGUGCGUAGGCUUCGGAAAGUCCGAAGGUGGUUAUAAUGCAUAAAGUGCAUUAAAGAAGGGUCCGCGGGAGCACCAGUGCAAAAUCUGCACUGGAGCAGAAAUGCUCUCUGGGACCGGUCCCUGGCAGGGAGGGACCGGUUCC